This 497-nucleotide ribosomal RNA is filed under the name uncultured bacterium. RNAcentral describes it as "partial 16S ribosomal RNA". It matches the Rfam family "Bacterial small subunit ribosomal RNA", at positions 28 to 507 of the family's 1533-position model. The record is from RNAcentral.
GAUGAACGCUGGCGGCGUGCCUAAUACAUGCAAGUCGAGCGAACAGACGAGGAGCUUGCUCCUCUGACGUUAGCGGCGGACGGGCGAGUAACACGUGGAUAACCUACCUAUAAGACUGGGAUAACUUCGGGAAACCGGAGCUAAUACCGGAUAAUAUAUUGAACCGCAUGGUUCAAUAGUGAAAGACGGUUUUGCUGUCACUUAUAGAUGGAUCCGCGCCGCAUUAGCUAGUUGGUAAGGUAACGGCUUACCAAGGCAACGAUGCGUAGCCGACCUGAGAGGGUGAUCGGCCACACUGGAACUGAGACACGGUCCAGACUCCUACGGGAGGCAGCAGUAGGGAAUCUUCCGCAAUGGGCGAAAGCCUGACGGAGCAACGCCGCGUGGGUGAUGAAGGUCUUCGGAUCGUAAAACUCUGUUAUUAGGGAAGAACAAAUGUGUAAGUAACUAUGCACGUCUUGACGGUACCUAAUCAGAAAGCCACGGCUAACUACGUG